Non-coding RNA from Triticum aestivum (bread wheat), 115 nucleotides. NCBI's taxonomy places the organism in Eukaryota, Viridiplantae, Streptophyta, Magnoliopsida, Poales, Poaceae. The record is from Rfam.
CAUGUACUCCCUCCGUUCGGAAUUACUCGUCCAAGAAAUAAAUGUAUCUAGAUGUAUUUUAGUUGUAGGUACAUUUAUUUUUAUGACAAGUAAUUCCGAACGGAGGAAGUAUAUA